This 431-nucleotide ribosomal RNA is filed under the name uncultured bacterium. RNAcentral describes it as "partial 16S ribosomal RNA". It matches the Rfam family "Bacterial small subunit ribosomal RNA", at positions 29 to 507 of the family's 1533-position model. The record is from RNAcentral.
AACGAACGCUGGCGGCAGGCUUAACACAUGCAAGUCGAGCGCCCCGCAAGGGGAGCGGCAGACGGGUGAGUAACGCGUGGGAACGUACCUUUUGGUUCGGAACAACUCCGGGAAACUGGAGCUAAUACCGGAUAAGCCCUAACGGGGAAAGAUUUAUCGCCGAAAGAUCGGCCCGCGUCUGAUUAGCUAGUUGGUGAGGUAACGGCUCACCAAGGCGACGAUCAGUAGCUGGUCUGAGAGGAUGAUCAGCCACACUGGGACUGAGACACGGCCCAGACUCCGACGGGAGGCAGCAGUGGGGAAUAUUGGACAAUGGGCGCAAGCCUGAUACAGCCAUGCCGCGUGAGUGAUGAAGGCCUUAGGGUUGUAAAGCUCUUUUGUCCGGGAAGAUAAUGACUGUACCGGAAGAAUAAGCCCCGGCUAACUUCGUG